UGGUGGAGCUGUCGCGGCUGUCCGUCUCCGGUGGCGUGCCAGCGAUGCGCUCCGCGUCGGAUGGGACCGCCGCCACCGUCCCGGAGGAGGAAAGACUUUUUUUUUUUUGAGAAAGAGGAGUAAAGACUUGUGCACCGGCAUUUCCAGCGGCCGUGGAGCCGAUGUUCAGCUCAUCAGCUGCCGCACGAGAAAAUUGCUAUUACUACUUCCUAUAAUAGGACUUAUUUCGCUAAAAUAACCUUUAAAAUAUUGACACUUUGUUAUACAUGACAUUUGAUCUAUUUAAUCAAUUUGCUCAACUAAAAAAUAUAUAUUUUGCCAUGGAAUGACAUCUUGCCCUUCUAGCUUAGUGAUGUAGAAAUGUUUGUUGCUAAUCCAAUAAACUGCAUAUGUCCUAAGGGUCGUUGGGUAUUAGUGAAGGGAAUCUUAGGAUACUAACCAUUACCCGUUGCCAUAUAGGGAUAACCAAGAGCAUCAAUUGAGACAGAUAAUUUCCUUCCUUGUUUGUACUUAAAAAAUUGUUAAGUGUAUAACACGUAAAAAGAUGAUGAAAACUCUAAGGCUGUAACAGACUCUCAACGCUGAGGAUGUCGACGCUUAAACAUGGACAUCGCUCAAUGCAGUAUGUCAUUCUUUUAUGGUGUAAAAUCACUCCAUGCUUCUUGAAGGGUGCAUCAUGAGUGUAUCCCAUAGAUUUUGGUAGAAUCAAGUCAUUUCUCAUGUAUAUACAAUUGAACAAAAGUAAGAAGUGAGAAAAAGAUGAUCACCUCAUCCCUCAAACCAAACACACGAUCAAUGUCCGAGAAGACAUGAAGCCAUUGAGUAAUGAAUAUGAGCAUAUGAAAAACAUUACAGCCUGUCAUAACUUUCUCAAAAGUUUUCUUUUUGAAACACUACUUCCAUAUAAGCGUUCAAGCAAGAAGCUAGAAAAUACGGACUUUAAGAAUUAUUAAUAGAAUAUUUGAGGGAUAAACAAUGUAUGAAUUUAGAACAUGUACUGUUGUGUGACAUGUGGUUUGUGACAAAUGCAUGAAUUUUGCUGCGCGUUAUACUCAAUCUUAAGUUAUUAUAUACUCAUAGACGGUUCUUUCAAAUAUCCUAUUAAUAAUUUUUAAUUGCACAUAAAUUUAGAACAUGUACUAUGUUUUUUUUUGUUUUAAAAUUUCAACAGUUCAUCGGUUAGCCUCCUGUCCUCAUUAUCUGGCUUGGCACUUGAACCAAAAUUGAUUAGCACAAACACGAGACGUUGGCGUAAAGCAACAACAUAGGAGUAUCUUCAUACCCAUGUGAGUAGGGGCUUUUCACCUGAGAACAGAGGCUUCAUGUUUUUUUUAAGGUGGCAGCAAUCCAGAGUUAGGGACGCUAAGCUCCAUUUGUAUAGAGGAGUUGUACGGCGAUGGUCACCGCAUGGUAAUUAGCACAAAAUAUUGCCAAAGUUUGAGGAAUAGUUUCAGAUAGAAAAUCAUGGAAAGACUUGAGUACUUUAGGCAAAGGAACCGAAAGUUGACAUCAGGAAUCGUUGCACUUAGGUUUAGGGAGACUUGGUUUCAGAUAGAAAAUCAUGGAAAGACUUGGUGUGGCCAUAUCGAUAUCUCGUGCACGGCAGGUUUAGGGAGCUCAUUCGAGAUACAAAAGAGAAGCUCUGCCAUUAUUUCUGUGAGUUUGCUGUUCUUGUUUCUCUGUAUUGUAUUUUUGGCUGUCCUUUUAGGUACCCUCUUCUCUGUUAAUUAAACUCUGACAGUGCUCCUGCAAUGGCCGUUCGGAAAGUAAAAAAAUAUACAGGAAGGCGUGAAAAAUGAGAAUUAGUGAUGCUGGUGAUGCUUCAGGAUAUACGAAAGAUGAAAUAUGAAAGGUGCCGUAGGGGUCUCACAAAGUGUAUUCUACAGCUCACAGCCGCAACACAGGAAACUAACAGGUGGUUAACUGAACAUUUAAAUGUAUACAUAAACAUCAGUAUUUGCUACAAAAUGCCUGGCAUAGUCGCACACAGAGAGAAACUGCUCUUGUUAUUUCCCUUGGAAAUAUGUACAAGACGCCCUUGGUAAGUGGCGUUGACACUAUGUACAAGCUCGGAUGACUCCUAUUACGGCUCAGGAGAACACUUACUACACCUCAACCCCGAUCCUCUCUGCAACCUACAAUACAGUUACAAACAAAUCAGUGAAAAGUCACGCUUCAGAGAAAUAGUGCAGAUAACAUAAAACAGUAACAGGGGAUCCAGGGACAAGUUAUACAAUGCAACUGUUGGUAAAUCCUGGUGAAAUGCAACACAAAUAUAGAGCUGAUAGUGUUGGAAUUCUACAGGAAUGUUGAGCAGCAGAAAAAUAUACCUCCUUGAAGGAGUACACAUCACUGCCCCAAAGCCAGGCAUCGCAGCCUGCAUCCCUUGCUCCCCAUACGUCGUUCCUACGGUCAUCACCAAUAUGCACAGCUUCUUCAGGUUUCACUCCCAACAGCUCACAAGCCUUCAAGAAUAUUGUAGGGUUUGGCUUUUCUGCGGCAACCUGGAAGUUGAGCAGCAUCCAAGGAACAGAGUUUAAGACAAGAUUAAUAGGGAAACAGUAGCUGAAGUUUAGACACUAGUGCAUAAAUACAAGGCCAGGGAUUAAUUAGCAAGCUUUGCUAAACAAGGUCAUGUAAGGAAUGUUCUGAAAUGGAAACCAACCUCAGCAGAUAUAGCAACUGCAUCAAACCAGCCGUCACAUUUCAGUGCUUGUAGAAGUGGCCGAAGACGAGUGUCAAAGUUGGACACGACAGCUGUUUUGACACCAGCCCUCCUCAAUGCCUCAAAAACACGUCCAGCAUCUGGAUCGCAGAGAUGCCAAGCCUAGCAAACAUAUCACACAUUCACACUUUGUAAGCUUAUAUGCCAAAAGAAGAAGGUCAAAACAUUGCACACUGUAUCUCACCUUUUCAGUUGUAUAGUACUGAUACAGUUCCUCAAAAUACUGUAGAUCUGAACAGCCAGUGGAUGAACUCACUAUGUAUUGCCAAAAGGGCCUUCCAUCAUUAACAUACCUGGAGAAACUCAAAUGCAUUAGGAUUGGAUUUUAGCUGCAGUCCAAGCAGCAGCAUGAUUUUUGAAAGUGGUUUGAAAUCUGGAGGGCCACAACGCUCUCAGGCACAGCUCUUUUUAGUAACAUAACAAACCCAACAGUUUAUUCUAGUUCUACUACAUAAGUGGGCAGGCAAGAUGAGCUAGAAAUAAAUGAAAUGAAAGAACCAGCACUACUUCGGACCACCACCCAGAUGGCCAGAUAUGUUGAGAAAAAUUAGUGGCGAUAAUUUUUGACCAAGAUGUUUCACCUGAUAGGUCUAAGAAAACAGGCUGGAAGUACUUUUAUUGUUAUGUAGGAGUAUGCUUGAAAAGCACACAAAACCAGAUCAAGUUACUUUUGUCAACUGUACAGUAUUUGUCCUAUAACGCCUAAAUCAUAUAAUAAACCUGCAUCCUUGCAGUUGGCAGGAACCUAGGAAUUAGUGUUGCUUCUUUAUUUCUUUAUUUUUGUCUUUUUUCAGUAGUGGCAUAAAUAAACCAGCAAAACUAUGCUAUUUGGGAGAUUGAUGGAUUCAGAUAUAUUUAGGUUUGCUCUAUUUAUAGGGAUUCAACUUAAUCUCUCCACAUUGGAUGCAGACCUUUUAGCUGGAGGUCAGUAUAUAUAUGCGUGGUAUGUUAACUAUAUACAUGACAAAUUGCUUACAGUACCAAAAUUUUCCUAGCUUUCAUGCAGGGAACUUUCAAGCUGAUUGUUCCAAAAGACCCAUGCCACUGAACUUCUGAAGUGAUCGAUUGACAACUUCUAACCACUUUUAUUACCAUAUAGUCCACAGCUCGAUUGGAUUGCACAAUACCAUACCAAGUUACCAACAAACAUGUACAGUGGGGAGCAAUCAACUGAGGUCACAUAAUACACCAGUUCCACAUGCUUAUUCUCUCUAAAAAAAAAGUCAUGCAAAAUACGGCAAGUACCAUGAACAGUAACAAGUUUAGUGGGGCUUACCUCAGACGUGAUCUACCCCAUGGCUGCGCAUAAGCCCGGCGAUACCGCAUCAGAAUCUCAUCCUCUGAAUAAUCCACUCCAUACUUCUGGCCUAUCGUUCUGUACACCUGAAACAGACGUUUAAAACAGCACAGUAGACAUCAGAACACAUGCUUAAACGCAUCAGAGAAAGCAGAAGAGUGUUGUGCAAUUCGUCGUUCUGGGGACGAAACGAAACGAAACCAUCUAGUAGUAAAGCAAACAAAUCCUGAAGAGCACUGACAGAUCUCCCCAUAGCAUAGCCUGAGACCGCAUAUACAGAGGAGAGAAGCAACAGAUCAGAUCAAGUCCAAUCACUCCGCCACAGAGCGCGCACAGCCGAGCCGAAUUCAACUUGCAUGUCGCAGGAAUCGCUACCGAUGAUCAGAAAUGGGAUACAGAAACCACCGGACCACACAUGCAGCACCAGGCAAGCAACCGACCGGGCAGAGGACGCGAACCGGAGGGAGACGCGCGCGCGCGGCGGCGGCGGCAAUGGGAGGGAGGGAAUCGAGGGCGAGCGGAGCGGACCUGGGCCAUGGGUUCGGUGGGGGCGAGCAGCGUGCCGGCGGCGUCGACGAGGAUGGCCUUAUGCGUGAUGUCGCCGUAGAUGGCCCGCCGGUAGUCGUAGUACUCCCGCGCCCCCAUGAGCUCCCACCUCGCGGCCCCUGGCCCCGCGGUCGUGGCCACCUCCGCCGCCGUCCCGAGCGGCCGCCUCUCUCCGCGGGAGAGCGCCGGCGGCAGCCGGGCGGCGGCCGCCGCGCGCAGCCGCGCCACCGCCAUUGCUUGCGGGGCGGCGAGAUGAGGAGGAGGAGGAGGAGGAGGAAGAGCGUCGCCGUGCCGUCCCCGCCGCGCGUCGUGGGCGUGGGCUGUGGUGGUCCUCGGGGGGAACUAGUGGUGGCGGUUUAUAGGCGGCGAAGGCGUGGCGAGUGGUGACUGUGGCCUGAGGAGGGCCAGAGGUGGCUUUGCUGCUCGUUCCGCAGCUGGCUCUCAGGUGCUGUUUGGAACAGAUGGAUUUUUUUUUUGAAUGAAUUCUCUCAAUUUAAAUGGAGAACCGUAGAAAACAUGUUUGGUUCGGUAGAGAGCAUGAUGAAAAUCAGGCUAACAUGGACAUGACAUAUCGUCACACCAAGAUUACAACGCUUUAUUCGUAGAUGUUGGUAGACAAAAUCCCCGCAUAUUUGUGUCUUGUCUAUUGUAUCCGAAUAUAGAGUUUCUUAGGCCUUGUUUAGUUCCAAAUUUUUUUUGGUUUUUGGGACUCUAGCAUUUUCGUUUUUAUUUGACAAAAAUUUUUCAAUUAUGGAGUAACUAUGCUCAAAAGAUUCAUCUCACGAUUUACACGUAAACUGUGUAAUUAGUUUUUAUUUUCAUCUAUAUUUAGUGCUCCAUGCAUGUGCCGCAAGAUUCGAUGUGACGGAAAAUCUUGAAAAGUUUUUGGUUUUUGGAGUGAACUAAACAAGGCCUUAGACACAAGUGUUUUUCCUCUUUUAUUAGCAAUAGGGUGUUUAGUUUGUGAAAUGAGACUUUUAUUAUCUCAUCACUCUUAAUUUUUUUUCUUAGUUUGAGAAAUGGAAUAGUUUGUUUCAUCACACCACCCUCAUACCUUGUAAUCUAUACAUGGAUGAAGUCAUUUCAUCAAGAUAAUAACGUUGCUCGUCUACUCAAAUGCAACUUUCUUUAUGAACACCGACUUCCAAGUGCUCUCUGCUUAUUAUGAGCUCGAUCAAGUGGGAGUGAGGAUGGAGUUCAGAGACUGAGGGCGUGUUUGAUUUCUGAGCCGUGGGAGGUCAGGCUCAGAUGGUAAGCACUCUUUCCAGUGUCCACACGAGCCACUACACGCUCAAGCGAGCCCAGCCGUCUAGAAAUAGAGAUUCAUUGCGUUUUUUGGGAGUCAAGAGAGAGAAAAAAAUUUGCAUGCCAUAGACCUGGCUGAAAACUGAGCCAAGUGAAUUAAACAAGAGAAGUUGUACACGAUUUUGGCUCGUAUCAAACGCGCCCGAGUCGCUCGUGAUAUCCAUGUAACAGGAGUAUUUAUUUAUAUAUAUAUAACAAUCCAUCUUUCACCUUGGCUAGCCAGCGUACUAUGUUCCAAUGGGCGACAUUGGAUGGAUGCAUAUAUGCAGACACGUAAGACACCGGUUUUCAUCUCGGUGAAGAAGACCACAUCAGUCUGCCACAGAGCCAAUGGUUUCCCGUCCUGCCACGUCCUGCGGUUUUGUCAUGUACCGUCACGACGCCAAAGCAAUGCCAAAUUAUACACUUAUUACACAUCACCUUUUUUAUUUUCAUUAGUUUAGAGAGACAAUGGCAUAUGUUGCUCCUAUGACUUCGUAGUAGUAGUAUAAUGUUUGUGUGUGCGCUAAUUGGCCCGAGAGAGCCCGUUGAUUCAGGUUGCGCCCACCGGAAUACCGGAUCUUUGGGCCACGCUGUUGGCGUUACACGCGUGACGCACCGGGAGGAUCCACCGCACGUAAACAACGCCAUCAUGCUUUAGCCACUUGGUUUUGCUUUUGCCCGCGGCGUUUUUUUUUUUUUUUUUUGUUAAAGAAGGGAAUACUUUCGGUUGCAACCAAAAAAGAAAGAACGGAAGAAAGAAACGUUUCCUUUUAUUUAUUAUUAUAUUAUAAUACUCACUUCUGUUCAGAAUUCCAGGUGUAUGGAAGUGACAAAAUGAUUGGGAAUCAACAUUCAACCCCAUACGCUUCGGCACCCGUUCCAAGACGGAUCUGAUGCCAGUGCAGCCGCCAACAAACCAUCUUACUACUGUAUCAGUGAGUUCGUUAAGCACAGGUUGACAAACCUGGAUGGGCGCUAAACUGAACACCUCAACAUGUGUGAUCUAGAAAACCUGUUUGGAUCACCUAGCACUAGUUGUUAGAUUCUAGACUACGUGGAUCACCUAUAUGAGUACGUGACUUGAGUCACUGUUAGUUUACAAGUUGCUGGAACUAACUGUUCGAUGCAUAAAGUUUAGAUGACUAAAGCUCGAUCCUAUGAUAUUUGAGUACAUUACAUAGUAUAGUUAUUAGAGCAUUUUCACCGGUUCUCCAUUAAUCAUCUAUCCCUAAUAUGUAUGUAUUGACUAGUCUGUUAUUAUAUUUGUAAAUAUUAGGAGAGUUGUUGCAUCAGCAUCCUAAUACAUUUUUUUCUAAUACUCGUAUAGAAGGUAGGUCUCAUAGGAGUAUAGUAAAAAGAUGACUGUAUUUGAGGUGGUUUCCAUGAUAUAAAAAAAUGGUAUUGCAAAAUUGUUGGAGCAAAAAAAAGCAUAGUUAUCCCUAAAAUAACAAUUUUAUGUGAAUAGUAAGAGGUAUUAAAAAACAGUUGAAGAUGCUUUUAGUCCACUUUAACUCCUCGGCCUGUUUGGAUCCAUUAGCAAUAAAAAUUAUCAUCUAAAAUUAGUACUAGCGGACCAAAUAGAUCUGCUAAGAGCAGCUCUAAAAGAUUGGCUAAAACUAUUAACCAAAUCUUAUUUUUUAGUUAUUUUGUAAAAUAGAAAACUUCUUAAAAAAAGAAGACGUCCCCAACACCCUUGCUAAUUUACGAAGUCACAUAGCGAGUGCCCGUGGUUGGCUAUAUAUAGCCACCGAAAAUUAAAGAAUAGCUAGCUUCCUAUUUUACAAAGUUAGCUGUUGGAGUCUGGUUUUUGCUAUACAAAAUUCUAAAAUAGCCUACACGGCAAAAAUAGCUAAGUUGUUGGAGUUGCUCAACUUGCUAAUUAUGGUGAAGGGCUACUAACAGUUAGUUCUAUUAGUAGGUUUAGAAUUGCUAAUAUGUGCUAAUAGUUCAUAUAUACCUUGAACUUACUCUCUAACCACAUAUUAGCAGGUGGAUUCAAACAAUCUCUUCCUAAUUAAGAAUUAGGUAAUGGAUAAAACAGGCCAUAACUGCUGUAUUAGCUGUCAGUUAUGAUGUGAACUACUCCCUCCAUCCCAAAUUGUAAGUCAUUCCAAGAAUCUUGGAGAGUCAAACUUUUGUAAUUUAACCAAAUUUAUAUGAUAAAAUAAUUAUUAUUAUGAUACUAACUAAGUAUCAUUAUAUUCUUCCUUAAUUAUAUUUUCAUAGUAUACUCACUUUACGUUACAAAUCUUAGUAUUUUUCUCUAUAAUUUUGGUCAAACGUGAAAAUGCUUUGACUCUCCAAGAUUCUUGUAAUGACUUACAAUUUGGGAUGUAGGGAGUAUCUGUUAGGGCACUCAUAAUGCAGACUUUAUCAUAGAGUCUAAAGUUAUUUAUUACCUCGAACAAUGUGGACUUAGAGUCUAAAUAAGACUUGGAGUCUUAUUUUUUCUACAUCUUUCUUCAAUAAAUAUGCUGCCACAUCAGCAAAAUACCAUAAAUAAUAUGUAAUUAAUUGUCUUGGACUCUAUAAUAGAGUCUUGCAUUGUGAGUGGCCUUAGUACACAUUUGGAUGGACUAGCGGUUUAGUCCUGGUAAUCAAACACGUCUGGCAGAAAAACCGAACGGACAUCAAGUCACCAAGUGCAGCACAAGACCUUCGGAGAUUGGAACAAAAGAUCUCUCCGCGCUGGAACCCGGAACCAGCAUCCGUGUGGUGUGGCUGCGACGCCGCGACCACCCAGCGCACACACGCCACUCCGAUUGCAACGCCGGAAAAUGACAGCAGACCGGAAGAAUAAUCGUGUGGCCGGACAUGGCCCUCACCGCUAUUAGAUUUCCACUGGGCUUGGGCCAGCCAGACUCAGACGCAAGCGAGCUCCCUGAACCACAAGCACACCCUCCAAAUUGCAAACUGAACGAAACGGAGGCACAACUAGUGUCGACUCUCUCUUUCCUUCUGAGAUCUUCUGAAUCAAAUUUCUGCGUCGUCACUGCUGCGAGAUUCAGGCCACGUAAACUCUUUCUUGUUUAGAGAGAGAGAAAGAAAGAGAGAAGAUUCAGAUUACAUGAGUGCAUGACGACCACAAAUACGCGGCUGUUACUUGAACGCUUACAGCACAUCGUGUUCUGCAACGGCGCAGCCAUCUACGGAUAAGCUUUGUGACGCCAAAACCGUGCCGUAGCAGGAAAACCACGCAGGCCGCCUCGCGGAAAACGCUCUCGUCGCUCGAAUUUCCGCGCUGACCUACACACGCGCCUGCACAGCACAGCACAGCACAGCUUGACAAGAAAAACUCGGCACCCUCGAAUUCAGAAAAAGAGGGAAAGGGAGGGAAAACAUCGCCUGCGCCACUAGAAAACCAGUGGUGGCAGACGAGCCGGGGGGAACGUGCGGCGGGGGAGGAGCAGGGCACACGACGGGGGUCGCCGUCGCCGUCGCGGUAGCGGGGCCGAGUCGUGCUCGUGCCGCGCGCCCGCCAGCGCGCGAUCAAAUUCUUGGAGGUGGAGGCGCGUCUGCGGCUGCGGUGGGUAGGAGGAGCGGUGGUCCAGGUGACGAAAAGGAUCGAUCGGAUCGCUCCGAGAUGGCGCAAGUGGCCCGACCGGUCCUGCUUUCUCGGCUGCAGCCAGGUCAGGGCGGGGAAGAUGGUCGUGGCCGGCCAUGGAUGCUCCACCGCUCUCCGGCCAGCCGGCGUCAGGGUGGUCCCCACCCGGGGAGAUUAACGGCUUACAGCUUUGCUUUCCUGGAUUCUCUUCCUAUCCAGAUAUCCUAUCCUUAUGGGGGGGUGACUGUGACGACGUGUCGAUGUUGAGAACAGUUUCGCGGCUUCCGAGUCCUCAGUCACUAGGAUCGAUUGUCGUCUUAGUCAGCAGACGGAUUUGCACAAUCGUUUUCGGCACUUGCCGUAGAUCCAUUAUUGCUAUUGUGUGGACUCGAACAUCAGGAGAGAUGGAAUUUUGUGGUCGUACUGAAACACUGGGCAUCAGCUGAGCCUGGAUUCGUAAGAACAACAUGUUGAAAAUAUCAUAGCAUCAGGCCUGAAAUAUCAAGCCAGUUGCAGACAAUCCAUUUCAAAGCCGAGCUACUGCAACAACCAAACACAAGUGGUCCUUACAAGGAGCAGUUAACAGACUCUCCUUGACAGUUUCAUGGGAGAAAAUUAUUGGCCGACCGGGAUUCAGCGAGCUAAAUUAAGACCGACACGCAUCAUGCUAAAAAGAUACAACAGCCGCCGUCGGAGUCAGACAUCCAGGUUAAGUAAUCGUCAAGUGCACCAGUCAGUGUAUCCGAAUUCUGGGAUCUCAAGGCGAGAUCGUCACGGAACGGAAUGCUAUAAAUGGAGCUGCCGCUUGGUGGGAGCACUGCUGAAACAUCACCUUCCUUGUCUGCACAGUUCGUCAGAAGACAUUUGUUUAUCAAGUGAUGGGUGCAAAGCAAACAUGACUAGUAGAAUAGAAUGGCAUAUGCCGUGUAUGGUCCUUUAAUCAGCGAGAGUGAAAAUGAAGUAGCACUAGUGAGCAGAAGGAUAAGUACACGUACCUUCUGGUUGAGCGCGUGGCGCGUCUAACUGGACCACUGACUGCUGAGUCCUCUACAACGGGAUCUCUGGUUUUCUUUGCCCUUGACCGUGACGCCCCUGCAUAAUACAUGAAAGAUGAGUUCCUUAAGAAACUUGAUGUGUUCGUGUUGUGUGGAUAUCAUGGCUGGAAUCAUGAGUCACCUUUGCGAACAGAUUGUGUGGACUGAAUCUCCUCAUCGCCACCUUCUGAUCCUGUAAGUGGGGCUGAUGUCUGAGAAUUCUCUGUGCUAGUAUUCGCACUGUGUUCUGGUGUGUUCUCCUUAUUUUCGGUGCUGCUAUCCACCGAAGGAUCUGCAACCGGAUCUCUGGUUUUCUUUGCCCUUAACUGUGACACGCCUGCAUCAUACAUGAAAGAUGAGUUCCUUAAGAAACUUGACGUGUUCGUGUUGUGUGGAUGUCAAAGCUAGAAUCAUGAGUCACCUUUGCGAACAGUUUGUGUUGAUUGAAUCUCUCCAGCGCCACCCGAUUCUGUAGCUUGGGGUGAUGUCUGAAAAUUCUCCGUACUAGUAUGGUCACUGCAUUCUGGUGUGUUCUCCUUAUGUUCGGUGCUGCUAUCCACCGAAGGAUCAACUACCUCGCUAGUUUCUUCUGCCACGGACACAUAAAUAGACAGGUCAGACCAUCCAUGCAAGAGAAACAGUGAUACUACCCUCUAGUGCACAGAACAUAAACAGCUAUAUAGCCUCACAUGGUCGAUUAUAGCAGUUAUAUAGCAUAGAGGAUAAGGAGCAUCAGGAGGAAAUGAGAACUCUUCUACUUACCUUCAGUAGAAUUCCCACUGUUCUGACUAACUUCCUUAGUAGCCAGAAAUUCAUCAAGUGAGCCAAUUCUCUGUCUGUGUGCCUCAGCAUUUUUGGUUGUUUCCUCCUGUUCUUUCUUUUCCUGAUGAACCUUGCUAAGUUUCUCCUCAAAUUCCUCAAUGCAAACUUUUAGCUCAGGUUUCGCAAACUUCUUGCACUGAUUGGUGGAAUCACCAUAGAUAAGUGAAAAAAAAAGAUUGUUCAUAAAUUUAGUGAUGCUUUAUUAAACCAAACUGAAGCCUACACAAACAUCAAGGCUAUGCUACCAACCUUUGAUAUUACGCUUCUGAAGUGGUUCAUCACAGAAUCUUCAGACAAUGCAUGCUCAAACAUCUUAAAAUUAUCGAUGAGUUUUUUCAGGCCCUUUUCAGUGAAGGUUAGCUGAGAAAGGCAAUAAGAGAUAUACUCCCACUGUCUGACAUCUGAAACACAUGCAAAGAAAGAGUCAGGUGUCUGAGAAAUGUUAAAAUGCAUGUCUUACAGCAUAAUUGUCUCGAGAAAACAAAGAAUUAAAUGGCUGAAACAAAGAAAUGAGUGUUAUAUAUAGCUAAAAUGUAGACAUCAAUCACGGGUGCAAGAGUGUCGAAAAAGAGCAACUUGAUCUCAUCUUAUUUCUUAUAUGUGCAAUGAUCUCUCCUUUCUAUUUUACAUAAUGCGGUAAUGUUUCACUCCUAUGCUGUUGCAAAUUUCUUACUCUUACCACCUUUUUGUUCACAAUAAAUUGCCACUUCCUCAACACUGAGGCAGGCUCUUACCCUAAGUAACUUAUUAACAUUAAGUACAAGCACCCACUUAGCUAGGUAUCAAACCAACUUUAUGCAAAUCAUGACUUCCUUAGUAUGCAUGCUGGUCAAAUGUGACAAGUACUAGCAAACAGAUGGGGUACUAUUUAUCCUAUUGAAGGCAUAAGCAUAGUACCAUUUACUCCAGCAAACCUAUUGCACAGCUUAUCCACAAGAGCUUCCAUUUGUUUGUCCUGGGAUCACAAUUGCAACAGUAUAUAGUUACUAACAAGUAAUGUGGAGUAUGCACAACAUGCAAAUGAGUGAAGCAUUAAACAUUAUACCUUCUUAAUUGAAUUAAUUAAGAACUGCAUAAUAUUGCAAAAGGUUUCUUCUUUCAGGUGUUGAUUGCACAGUCUACCCAAGAUAUCCGGAAGAAGAUUAUAAAUUGGGUUGCUUCCUUCAAAGGCCACCAAUAAAAAAGAAGCAAAUUUGUUAGAUAUAGAAGAGAAACUCUAGCAUUCAAGUUAGUCAACCAAUGUUUCUGACACAUGUUUCCAUACCUUUUUUUGACAACUCAUGAAAGAAGAGUUUGGCCAGGCUUGAUAUCCUCUCAUCUUCAUCUUCUAUUCUUACAGCCAUUUCAUUUAUAUACCCUUUAACCUACAAAAGAUUUUCAAAGUGACUGAAAAGUAACAUAAUGGUGGGAUGGAGAGGAGGAGGAGGAGGAGGAGGAGGAGGAGGGGAGAGAGAGAGAGAGAGAGACCUUCAUCAUAUCAUUCAAUAUAAGAUGAGAAAUGACCAGCACAGCGUUCUUCCUCACUGACACUGAAGGAUCACGUAACCGGGCAUAUAUAUACUCUGUCCAAGGUUCUAAGAGGUUUGGGAAGCGAACUGCUAAAUCACCAAGCGCUAUAGUGCAGUUGGAUCGGACAAUUUCAGAAGGUGCACUUUCAGCAACAGUAAACAAGAUUUGAAGAUUUGCUUCGCUGAAAGUUGAGUGUUAAUGUGAGGGAGUGCUUUCAUGAAAUGCUCAUUGGUCCACAAUAAUGAACAACUAGAGUCAUGCGAAAGAAAAAAAAACUUACCAGAACUCUGCAUCAAUGAUCAUUAGCCUGCAAAGAGCAAGCAUUGCAGAAGCUUGUAGGUCUGGGAACUAGAUUCAAAAGAGAAGAAAUUAGUAACUGUAGAUAGUAACAAGAAAAAAUGUUUAAAUGGAAUACAGGAAGCCCAGUUGACUAUAAACCUUUUGCAGCAAUGUAAGAUUCCUGCAGAGUUUUGAGAGAAAUGGCCCACAAUGUCCUAUGAGAUUCUUUUUAGAAGAACAGCAAACAAUUUCCUUUUCUGCUCUUUCAGCAAGGGACUCGAUUGCAAUAUCUAUGGUUGCACCAAGUCCCAGUUCGGCAUUUAUGCCUUGUGCCUGUUACACAAUAAAGCACAACCUGAACUUAACUGAAACAAUGACAAGUGAAAAGUGACAAGUUCAGAAAGGACAGAGAUUUAGCACUCAAGCCAGAAUUACCUCCGUACUUUUAGACACGUCAGACUGGAGAUCCACAGUGGACUGAGAUUUUUCAUUCUUCCGUAUCUGUUUCUGAACUUUCCUAACAGAAUUCUCAAUGUACACCAAAUGAUUUAGUGCUAUAUGGCUAAUAACAAAAAGAAAUCUACCCAGCUUUGAAGGUGAUACUGAUGACAGAGAGGCAUCAUUCUCAGUUUCAAUUCCAUUUGACACAUCCUCGUUUCCUAAAACACUGAAUACAGAACUGAGGGACUUCUUUGCAGUCUCAGUAGCAAAAAUUUCAGGAGCAGGGUGUAGGGUGUAGAUGGUGCUUAUAGCUUUAUCUGCAGCUCCAUACCAUAUUUUCUCAGGAAUUGAGAAGCUUGUUACCAAACCUUGCAAUGCAGCAAAUACUCUACUACUAGUAUUUAUCAGUUUGCCCUUGUCUUCAUCUGAUAAUCUCUGCAAAGCAAGACAUGCAGUUCUAGCAAGCAGAGGCUCCUCCUUAGCCCAGCGUCCAAACCCAAUGUCAAUAAUAUCUUGCAAGUGAGCACCCAAAAUGCUGGGAGACGACUUAGCAGCCAUACAAAGAAUUGAUAGAGCUCCACGGCUUUGCACUGGUCUGACUCCGUUUAUGUUAAAGCAAAAAUAGUCCCACAGUGCUGAUACCUGCAAGAAGCAACAGGUCAUAGAAAAUAUCCUCAGAAGCAACAUAAGAUAUCACCAAACUGAAGUAAUUUAAUCCAAAAAAAUGGUUAUAUUUGGGAAGAAGCUAUAUAUGACUGCAGUAAUCGAAGAAAGAAAGACAACAAAUCAGUAGACAUGGAAAAAUUCCAAUUUCUUCUGUAAUCCCAAUUCAUAUAUAUAGAGGUCAAUAAUUAGGAUCUUGAAGAAGCAAGCAUCUUAAUUGCUCCAAUCUGUAAAACUCAGGUGCUCAGUCAGUUUCAAAUGUGUUGCCACAUUUAUUUAUUCUUUACAACUGAAUUAUAUUUUAAUCACUGAACUGCUCAGUUACUUUAGCUGGAACUAACAAAUAAUCACAUUCAAAGUGGUAGCCAAAGCAAAUUGAUAGGGAAGAAGGGUGCACCGUGCUGGAUGAAAUUUCUGCUUUUGAAACUAAGGAACUAACUAAGCUCUCGAGAGCAGCGAGGUCACCAAUGCUACAAUCAAUGGCAAGGUCUAACAAACGUUUCGCCGUUUCUGUUGGGCUUUUCCUUGUGUAUAAAGUAAUGAAUGCACUCUCCACUGCUUCAUAUAUUGACUUAUCCUGAGAAAAUACCUGAAAAAUACAAAGGAUCAAGGAAUAUUAACAAAUAACAAAUACAUAACAAGCACAAAAACCAGAGAGUUUUUGGGAUAUUACCAGAGGUAACAUUUUCCUGAGAGCUGCUUCUGAUCCUUCGAUCUGAAAUUGUCUGCAUCUCAUCAGUAAAAGGAUGGUGUUCUCAACAUCAGUAGCUGAGGAUGAUGCCAACAACUGAACAAGAAUUGGCAUUAACGAAGUUAUACACUUUGAAAACCGCAGACCAGCUUCAAGUGAUGCAACUAAAGCUCUUAUUUGUUCCAAAUUUGUUAUAUCCACAAUCGUAGCAUCAUGAUCAUUCUGAUCCUGACUUGAUGCUAAACAGCUAUCACUGACACUUUCAUCUUGCCCCAGGAUCACUUCACCAGGCGAACAAUCGUUUGCAACCUCAUCUUUGUCUGGAUUUGAGGGCUCCAUUCCUUGUAAUUUUUCCUUGUACUUUUCUAGAGUUGCCUCAAAGGUUGCAGUCCUUAACUGAGGUCCAAAAGGGUUGUGUUGCAGCAUUGUGAUGAGAAGCUGUAGUGCUGAUUUUCUCACAAUAGCACUUUUGUCCUCCAGUCUCCCUGAAGCAACUGAAGCCACUUCAUUCCACAGGCCAAUUGAGAUAGAAUUUUCUUCACAAAGCUCAGACCACACCUGAAGCACACGACUCCUUGUGUAUGCUGACACAUCCCUACAGCGCUCAAUCAAAAUCUCUAGCAUAGCCUGCUUACUUCGAAGCCGAGCAUUGCUAUCACCCUCAACAUCCUUGAAAGCCUUUGCAGCCAGCUUUCCCAAAACUCCAACAAGAGCAUUUCUGAUCUUAUAUGACUCACCACCAAAGUGAGGUAUCAAAACACCAAUGUUGGUUGACAUAAGCUUUGGCAAGCGGUCUGCAAGUUCUACAAGGAAUCUCCCAACAUUAUCAGCACCAACACUAUCUCUUGCGUAUUCUUUUGGGUCAGCCCGACCUAUUUCCCUAACCAGGGAAAUUGCGAGGCUUCCGUCACCAAACUUUUUCUCUGCGGAAGCAACUGCUUCUGCAAGAUGAGGAACAGUGAAAUCAAAUUUGUGGAUCAGAUGCGAGACAGAUGCACUGAUUUGAGAAACUCUCUGAUGCUUUGUGGCAAUUGCUCCAAUUAUCCGGCACAGACCAUUUCUUGUAUCCUCAUCUUUUAACACAUUCUGAUUUUCACAGAGGACAAAAGUACACCUACAUGUUAUGAAAGUGAUGUCAUUCCAAAAAAAAAAGGUGGGUUACUGGAAAGUACUGUAGUCAGUUCCAGAACUUACUUUGAAACGAAAGAGAGAUAUCGUUCAUCAGUUCCUCCAGGACCAAAAAGCAGUGAAAGGUCAGCUUCAAGAGAAUUGGCAACUAGACUCAUGAUCCUGCCUCUUUGAGCUUCCCAAUUCCAAGCAUAUACAUGAUUCUUCUUUCGACCGUGUGCUGUCACCUAAGUUCUCAUGAAAAAAUGAAGUCAACUCAAAAAACAAGAGCAUAAAUAAUCUUUAGGAUAAUUGUAUCUUCUGCAGAAAAGUCACCUUAGCCCCUGUGCCGCUUUCAGCAGCAGAUUCCUCUGUGAGAACAAUAGAAAUGAUAAAGAAGGAGUAGAUCUUGAGGGCAUUGCGGUGUGAGGCAAUGCGAUCAGUGAUCGGGGUAGUAUCAGAAGGGGAUGACAUGGAUGCCCGGGAAAGUGAGUCUAUGUUGGGUAGAAGGACACUGAGGUUGGAGCGCAAGGUCUCAACAAUGUUAAACUUAAGGGCUGGGGGUAAGCAAUUGAAAUCACGAACAAUAGAAUAGAUGGCAUCGAACACCUCCUGUUCCUCAAUGCAGAAGAGCUCCUUAUCAGAAAGAUCAAAUGAUGCACCUUCAGUUUGAAUCAGAAUAAGAAAAAUAGUCAGUUCACUUAACAAGAUCUUUCAUUCAAAAAAUAAAGCACCAAAACUAGCUAGAUCUCUAAUUUUUUUAAUAAUAACUUUCUAAUUGCACGUUGCCACAGGUUAGAACAGCCAACACUGUCAAUAGUAAGACUGUAGCAUGAAAAAUUGAAAAAUAAGGGGAAAGGUCUAUUCCCAUCAAGCAAUUGCUAAUAUUUUGUUUUGAUGGAACAGUGAUUGCUAAUAUUACAGAGACGACAAUGGAGAAUAAAGAUUUAUGAAUAAUUAAAAUAGCAGGGUUAUGUAGGGCCACUGAGGCAAAACUUAUAAUAGCUUGUUGGCUUCUCGCACCCACCUUUUCUGAAAUCAGAUCAAGUUUCUUAACCCAGCCAUGUUUAGUGCGGUAAGAUACUAAAGCAACUGCAAGACUUCCGAUUUCAAAAUUGGUUGCAAGCAAGCUCAGACGCUUCUGUGGAAGCGAACGCGAGCAUUUGUCUGCAAACUCAUGUAUUUACAUGCACGCACCGAAUUGCUUGAGAGAGAGAAAAAAAUAGGGAUGCCAGGUUGCCAGCUACAUCCAAAUCAGAAGCUCCGACUAGCUACUGUUCAACAAAACCCUAUUCUAGUGGAUUUUAACCAAGUGACGAUCAAAACCUGAAUCCAAAACUAGGAAUUCUUAACGACUGGUACAACUCGACCAAACAACGAACCCAGCGGCGGCUGGGAGAUGGCGGCACGUACCCUUGACGAACUCCUCGAGGUCGGCGGCGCGGAGGGUGGCGACGGCGACGGGAUUCUGCGGCCGGAGCGAGGGCUCCUCGUCUCCGUCGCCGUCGGUGUCCCGCUCCAGAUCCCGCAGGCUCGACGGGAACACGAACGGCGGGGCCAUCUGGCCGCGGGAGGACGCCGGCGAGCGGAGGAUGGGGAGGGGGAGGCGGAGGGGUUUGGGCUGGGGAGUGGGGAAUGGGAGGGGAAGAGUGGCGAGUGUUUCGAAAUCGAGAGCGGGAGCCGUGAGAUUUCGUGAGGUUGUCCUGACUGUACAAAGGGCCCACGCGUCGUCGCGUGUGAAGGUGGCACCGGUGGUUUGAUUCGAACCGUUUGAAUAGGCGGGGCUAGGGCCUCGUUUAGUUUCGAAAAUUUUUGAGAAAUUGAUAUUGUAGCACUUUCGUUUGUAUUUGACAAAUAUGAUCUAAUUAUGGAUUAACUAGGCUCAAAAGAUUCGUCUCGUCAAUUCCGACCAAACUGUGCAAUUAGUUUUUAUUUUCGUCUAUAUUUAAUACUUCAUACAUACGUCUAAAGAUUCGAUAUGACGGAGAAUAUGAAAAAUUUUGCAAAAUUUCCAGAGAACUAAACAAGGCCUAGCUCGUGACCUCGUGUUGACUGUUUUUCUUUUCUUUUCUUUUUGAUAAAUGAGAUCUUGUUUAGUUCCGAAAAGUGAAAAGUUUUCGGUACUGUAGCACUUUUGUUUGUUUGUGACAAAUAUUAUCCAAUCAUGGACUAACUAGGAUCAAAAGAUUCGUCUCGUGAUUUACAGCUAAACUGUGUAAUUAGUUUUUGUUUUCGUCUAUAUUUAAUGUUUCAUGCAUGUGCCACAAGAUUCGAUGUGACGGAAAAUCUUAAAAACUUUUUAGUUUUCAGGGUGAACUAAACGAGGCCUGAGUUCGUGUUAACUGUUGAGUAAAACCCACUGCUAGAUCGAUCAAAUAACUAAAAUAUUCCCGUUUUCACAAUAGACUACAAUUGCUCUUAUGCAACUAGGCCCUGUUUGGUUCUCAAAAAUUUUACAAUUUUUUUAAAAGAUUCUUUGUCACAUCGAAUUUUGCGGCACAUACAUGAAGCAUUAAAUAUAGAUAAAAAAUAACUAAUUGCACAGUUAUCUAUAAUUUGUGGUAUAAAUUUUUCGAGUCUAAUAAGUCCACGAUUGAAUAAUAAUUAUCAAAUAUAAACGAAACUACGAAAGUGUUAUAAUAGCCAUACUUCUUCUCUAAAACCCAAAAUUUUUCAAGAUUUCUCGUCACAUCAAAUCUUUAGACACAUGCAUAGAGUAUUAAAUAUAGAUAAAAUUAAAAUCUAAUUGUACAUUUUAUCUAUAAUUUGCAAGACGAAUUUUUUAAGCCUAAUUAGUCCAUAAUUAGACAAUAUUUAUUAAAUACGGAGUACAAAUGAAAAUAUUACAUUGUUUAAAAAAAAAAUCGUUGUGGAACUAAACACGCGGGAGGUGGCAAGGUUAGCUGGGCGUGUGCUCCAGCACAGGUGUAUGCGAGCUGUGGUCUCACGCCUCGUUUAGUUCAUCCAAAAAUUAAAAAAAAAAUUAAGAUUCUCCGUCACAUCGAAUUUUGGGACACAUACAUGAAGUAUUAAAUAUAGAUAAAAACAAAAACUAAUUGUACAAUAUACCUAUAAAUUAUGAGAUAAAUUUUUUGGUCUAAAUAGUCCAUAAUUGAAUAAUAUUUAUUAAAUAAAAAUGAUUUUUCGGAACUAAACAAGGCCUCGGACAAAAGCAUCGAUGGGGCUACGGUACACAAUUGAUUCUUCCAACCCAGACAUACAGUACCAUCUUUUCAUGGUCUAAUCGUUUGUAACUUUAACUUUUGUCAUAAUUUUUAUGUGCUUGCUCUCUCCCAACGCGCUCCAAGGUGUGUGCUUCAUUUUUUGUCAACCGAAGCUAUCGCAGCUCCUCCAGGAUCUGAUCGCAAAAGAAGGCUCUUGCAGGAACCUCUAAGGGCUUCUGCAACGGAAGUUAAUAGAGGUGUUGGUCUCAGGGAAAAGAGAAAGACCACGUAGAUUAAAAAAGUAUGAGACUGUAUUUUCUCCAACGCAAACUAUCAUAGUCGUACAGACGACGUUAGUGUUGUCAGCUGUGUUCAAGAGCGUAAAUCAGAGUGAGCCAGUGACUUUUCUCUUGCUGGUUAACCUCCAACGCGCUCCUCGUUGGGUGCUCUGUCUUUUCGUCAGGUGAAGCACUCGGCUCCUCUGCAGGCUAACAUGACACACUGCGGAGCAGCACUUCGACUCAACGUGGCCUUCAAAUGCGGACGUUGAGUCUGGAACCACCCGCCACCUUGGCGCGUUGGGGCUGGCCUAAGACCAGUAUCAGUUGAGGUUUCACCAGGAUGUCAUGUACAUUUAUUAAAGCGACAUGUCAGCAAAACUGCACUUUUUGCAUAAAAUGAAGAGGAGAGAGAAGGAAGUAGUUUCACUAUGGUGAAACUCUGGGCGUUGUUUCCCACGCGGUGAAACGGGAUGAAAUUCCCACUGAAGGCCACAUCGUUUCACCAUCUUGCAUGUGAUCCAAUCAUUUUGCAGCAAUUAAAUGCUUUGCUUAGCCUUGGGAACAACAAAGUGAAAUGCUUCAUUGCUGGGGUUAUUUCAUAGAUGGUUUCAUUUCAAUCUUGAUAACGUGUUGGUAUGUGAAACCGUGCAGUGACACCGUCCAUUGAGACUGCGUAGUUUCAUGACACAGUUAUCAAGACUAUAAACUAGGUAACCGAGCCACAUUAGUUUUAUGGGGAUGAAACACCUCUCUCAUCAUAUGAAACUCCUUCAUUUAAUGACUCUGCCAAGUCAGCAAUUUUGCUUAUGUGUCAUUAUAUUUAAUAUGAAAGACACUUUCAUAAAACAUGCAUUGAGACUGACCUAACAGUCUACGAAGCCAGGGGCGGAUCCCAAGGGGGGCUGGGUUGGCUCCACUGCCCAUUAAGUUACUGUUAAUUAGCCUUAAAUUCUUAUUAAUCCUUAGCUUUAAUUCUAAAUAUUUACUAGUUAGCUUCUCCUUUGAUCUCAUCCUGGAUCCGCCACUGUACGAAGCAUACAUCCGUGAUGAUUUGAACGCCAAAUAUUGACACGGAGGAUGGAGCUAAUGUACACGUUGUAGCGCUGGGGUGGCCUAAGACGAUAUGAUAUGAGAGAGAAGCAUGUCUCUUUUGAGCAUCCACAUUCAUUCCGCAUGAGGUCCAAGGCACUCAACUUUUAUAUUAUUUGCUUAUUUUUUAGCCCAAUUACCAUAAUACUCCCUCAGUCUCAUAAUAGAUGAGAAAGAUAUAUGUCUUUGGAUUCAUUGAUGGCGCUCACCUUGUCUUGCUAAGCAAAGUUUACAAGGUUUAGUUCCUUUAUUUACUCCAUUUACCAUUGUUUGGUCAAGAGAACCAAUUUGGCUCACCUUUGUUGGCGAGGUUAGCUUUGUGUCGACGAAAGCUAGUCGGCAGUCUACCUUGGGGUAUACCCACGGUAGUAGUUUAUCGGUAGACGGUGCGCAAACUACGAACUCGAUGGUGACGCAAGACACGGACAAGCUUUUUAUCCAGGUUCGGCCGCCGAGUUGGCGUAAUACCUACGUCCUGCGUCUGGUUGUAUUGAUUUGUGUUGAGAGAAUAUGAUGUAUGACUUGUCCUCUAGGGGACCCCUGCCCCUCCUUAUAUAUUCUGAAGGGACAGAGUUACAAGCAAAGUAUCCUAUUUGGUACAAAAUCUUGUAGCCUUGCGGUGCACGCCGACCAGUCGUGCGCCGCACGUCUUCAUCUUGUGGGCCGAGCCACCUCUGAUGGUGCGGCCCAUAUAGGCCCAUGAGGGUAUAGGGGUUUAUACCCCCACAGCUAGUCCCCGAGCACCAUGUAUUGUGAUGUAACACGCCGUCUUGAGCUUCUUCGAUCAGCGAGGCUUGACGUCUUCAAUAAACAGGAAAGUCGCCCAAACAGUUGCAACGGUAUUUUGACCAACUCAAAAGACAGUUGAUCAACAUUGACAUCGAAGAAGCAGGUUGUUCGAAGAAUGCAUGGUGCUCUUAAUUAAAAAAGAUUUCUUUCCUGGUGAAGUGUGCCCACUUUACUUUUCUGAAAAGUAUAGUCUUUCAAAAAGCAAGCAUAUUCACCGCAAGGUGAAGUGUGCCCACUUAGUCCCCGAGCCUGGUAGUAGGUGACGUAGGCACGUGGUGCCAGGGUCAAAAGAAAAGUCCUCAAAGAAAUUCUGAAACUGAGAUGUAUCGCCAGAUGCAUUGUACCGAUGUAGUCCCCGAGCUUGCUGGAAGGCGAAGUAUGAGCCUUGUAGCAAGGUUUAAAAAGUUGAAUUUACCAGUCCCCGAGCAUAUCAUGCUCGUAUGCAAUUGAAUAGACUAAUCGACCAGUCCCCGAGCAUAGAACGCUCGGUGGUCGGUACAGUCCCCGAAUUCUCAAAUUGGUGGGCUGGUCGACCAGUCCCCGAGCGUGUAGUGCUCGGUGGUCGGUACAGUCCAAAAACUCUCAAAUUGGUGAGCUGAUCGAACAGUCCCCGAGCGUAUAGUGCUCGGUGGUCGGCAUAGUCCCCGAGCACGGCGUAGGGACCGGUGGACAAGUCCCCGAGCGUGGUUGGGAACGUAAACAUGCUCGGUGGUCGGCACAGUCUUCGAGCACAGCAUAGAGAGUAGUCGACAAGUCCCCGAGCGUGGUUGGGAACGUAAACGUGCUCGGUGGUCGGAGCAGUCCCCGGGCACAGCGUAGGGAAUAGUCGACGAGUCUCCAAGCGUAGCUUGUCGACUGGGCCAAACUCCUGAAAAAUAAAUAUAAAGAAUUGGUAGUACAUGAUGUAUAAAUAAACUUUAGAUAAAAAAUCAGUACUAAGAUAAGUUUUAGAUUUUUUGUUAUAAAAUUAGCACGAGUAGUUAAUUCGUCCUAGAGCUUGUACCAGCUCUGGUUUAGCCAACAAUCAGCAUGAGGUGCGGAACCUAGACACGCGUGGGAUUGCCAGCCUCGCCAGAGAGCUACUGCCGACCACCCGGAACGCAGAGAGCGGAUCUCAUGCACGUGUAGGGAGGAGUCGGAGACAGUACCGGCUCUGGAAAACUCGUGUAGGAGAAAAAACUAGUCGGCUAAACAAAAAGUUGUUUUGAAGGAUAAUAAAAAAUAUUAUGCCAAAAAUAAAUAAAAUAUUAGAAUUGUACUUAUCUUUGGACGAAAGUCUGGUCGGGAGAGUUGCUUGACUUGUCGUGAUGGUGGUCGCGGCUGUCGUAGCGCCGUUCUUCGUGGCGAUUAUUAUUGCGACUCGUGGUCAGAGCAAGUAGGCCACACAACUUGGUCGAUAGCCUGAGCAGGUCGGUGUCGUCGAUCUGCCUCCCUUUGUAGCAGAGAAGCGGGUGACGCGUUGUCGGCGUGGUCGGAGACGUUGCUGGAGUAGUUGAAGUCGUAGCCAGCGUGGUUGAAGCCGCCGCCGACGUCGAUGAAGAAGUGGUUGGCGCAGAUCGGAUCUACACCUCCUCCGUGGUCGUGACGGUGAAGCUGUUGAAGCUGACGGUGAACGUGAAGUCGCCCGCCAUGGCCACGAAGUCGGGGAUAAUGACCAUCUCGUUCGUCGGGAGAGCUGUACGCACACCCCCUACCUGGCGCGCCACUGUCGACGAAAGCUAGUCGGCAGUCUACCUUGGGGUAUACCCACGGUAGUAGUUUAUCGGUAUACGGUGCGCAAACUACGAACUCGAUGGUGACGCAAGACACGGACAAGCUUUUUAUCCAGGUUCGGCCGCCGAGUUGGCGUAAUACCUACGUCCUGCGUCUGGUUGUAUUGAUUUGUGUUGAGAGAAUAUGAUGUAUGACUUGUCCUCUAGGGGACCCCUGCCCCUCCUUAUAUAUCCUGAAGGGACAGAGUUACAAGCAAAGUAUCCUAUUUGGUACAAAAUCUUGUAGCCUUGCGGUGCACGCCGACCAGUCGUGCGCCGCACGUCUUCAUCUUGUGGGCCGAGCCACCUCUGAUGGUGCGGCCUAUAUAGGCCCAUGAGGGUAUAGGGGUUUAUACCCCCACACUUUGUCAACAAGGAAACAAAGUUACCUAACUGAGAGAUCUAAACUUGCCAUAUAAGCAGAGAUGUAUUGUAAAAAGAUAAAUGUGUAUUGAAAAAGUGAAAACAACAACUAAUUUAGGACACACGUAAAAGGCCAGGGAAACAACGAAGGGAGUAAAAGGCCAGGGAAACAAGUAUCAUACGACGAAGGGAGUAUGGUAACGAGUGAUUUUUUUUAAUCAAAGGUUCUUUUUAAGGGAAUACACUGGCUUCGGCAAUAGGCAAGAUUGUAGUAGCAUAAUGAGCUACAGGAUCAGCUGAUUCUCGUGGGACAGAGACAUCAGCCCUAUAUUUUUUUAGUUUCAAUGGAUGGUUAUCUACAAGACAUAUUGGUCUUGCUUAGUCUAAAUUUUUUUCUUGUUUCCGGUUAUCCAGCUGGUUGACUGUAAGCCCCUUAGGUGAAACUUUGUAAUAAUUGAUCUGAUUCUAUCCAUAGAUAGAUGAAGCCGGAUAUGAACUAUCCAUUAUUAAAAAAACUAAUGAGGUGUGAUGUUAAGACCUAUUGUAUCCAUCUCAAUAGUCCCUUUUUUUACAAAAUCAAUAAAACCUUGAGCUCACCGAAUAAUAAAAAAGCACUAGUGUACCAAAUAAGUGUCAUUCAUUAAUUUGAGAUUUUUUUUAUAUUAAACCUAUCAAGAUACACGCAUUGAUAAUACUAUUUUUCUACUAAUUUAGUUAAACUUAAGAAAACAAUUGAUUUAGUGGAACCAAAUAUUACACUUAUGUAAGAUGUUAAUGUUUUUUUUUGUAUAAAAGCAAUGUUUAUCUGUGUAAAAAAACACUUUUUUCUCAGGAACAUAGCACAUUUGCGCUAUAGACUACAGUAUUGCACCGAAACUCUAAGGCCUUGUUUGGUUCAUGCCGAUAAAUUUUAUUGUCUAUCACAUUAAAUGUUUGAACACAUAUAUGAAAUAUUAAAUAUAAGACUAUUUACAAAACUUAAAACGCAACUAAAGAAUAAUUUGCGAGACGAAUCUUUUGAGCGUAAUUAGUCUAUGAUUGGUUACUAUUACCAAAUAAACAAAAAUGUUACAAUACUUAUUAAACUUUAACACUACCAACAAAACAUCCCUUAAAUCUUUCGCCAAAAAAAAAACAUCCCCUAAAUAAAUCUCUUAAACAUGAAGAGGCUGCAUACCUGGGUGGAUACGCCUGCCUCCCUAUCAAGGGUAGCAUCGAGCACACAUGUCCCCCAAGGAGGUGUCGCCGGACACGUCAAGGCUCAUAACGCUCAUGUGCCUCGCGGCCUCGCCCUGUAUUCCAGUUGAUAUGCAGUGCGAGAAAAAAAAAACUCUAGACUAUCUAUCCUUUCCAAUAAUCAUAGCGAUACAGUACAGUUCAUUUUCAUCCCUCAAAGAGUACAUUUCAUCCCUCUGGACUGUCUGAGCAUGGUAAUCUCAAAAAAAGAAUUAUCUGAGCAUGGUGUAAUUGUUAUUCGCGCUCAAAUUGAAGGGGGUGUGAAGGCUGUCACAACGAACGGAACACUCACUAUCAAAUUGAUAGAGUUCUUCUAGUAUUUUUAAUUAGUAAUAAAAUACUACCAUUAGUCAUAAUACUAGAAAAUCCUCACUAGGAGACAUUUACUAGAAAAAAUUUGUACUAAAUUUUGAAUGCUAAAACACUAGAAGAAGCCCACAUUAAAAAAUUUAGUUGUGACUCACCCUACAACACGUGCAAGCCAUCUAUUCCCUUAGAGCAACUCCAAGAUCUCUUAGCUAAGAUUAGUAGUCAAAUUUCAUUGCCCUUUUAUAAAAUAGAAAUUUCUUAAAAAAAAAGAAGUCCACAACAACCUUGCUAUUUUAUAAAAUUAGAUAGCCAGUGCCAGUGGUUGGCUAUAUAUCGGACACCGGAAAUUAAGGAAUAACCAACUUUCUAUUUUACAAAACCAGAUAGCACAUCUCUUGGAGCCUACUUUUUACUAUGCAAAUUUUUAAAUAACAUUCACAAUAAGAAUAGCCAAGCUCCUAGAGUUGCUCUUAGCUCUGUUUUCUUUUGGUUCGGGGUAGGAGAAAAGUAGAAAUACUUGUAAACUAGGAAAAAAACUCUCGUGUUCUUGUACCUCAAUAUUAUUAUCGUCCUAGCGUUUGGUAAACUCAGGUGGUUGUCUCCUAUUUGUUGUAAUCUUGCGAGAGCAUCUCCAAGAAUACCCAAUAAUCCUUGUCAAUCCUUGAUUUCUCAGAAGAAUGAAAAAAAUGAUCUCCAACAACUCUCAAACUCAUCUCCCAAUCUUUUGACACUCGGAAAAACUCCUUUAUGCGUAAAGAUACAUGGAUCCCAAUAGUAUCUAUAUUGUUCCCCCGCGCGUUGUAUACAUAGGUCAAUCUAAAGGUGAAAGAGUGUGGGAAAGAAUAAAGACUAAAAAAGUUUCUGAUGUAAAUAUACAAAGAGAAAAAAGAUAUAUAUAAUUGGUUAGAAAUAGUAUAGGAUUCCUGUUGUAAAAUUGUCUUCUAAUGAAUUAUUGGAAACUGUUAGAGAUGAUCUUAUUUAUUUCUCUGAUUACUUUUUGGUAAGUUGGAAAACAUCAUCAUUUUAGGAAAAAUUAUUGGGUUCUUUUGGAGAUGAUGCUCUACUAGCUCACCGAUGAUUGAAUCAACAAUGAACGUGUUGCUUUUUGAAAGUGCGCCUUGAAUUGAAGAGUUUGUGGCGUACAAAUUCACAUGUGACAAUAGUAUUUUUUAGGGGUAGGUUGUGAUAGCAUUGAUAAAACUUUCACUAGUUUUUGAAUCGGACGCUGAUGUUAGUAAUUGGCUUGUUUUAAUGUUUUAUGCCUUGCGCAUUGGAUGGCGUUAUUUGAACGGAGGACGGGAUGAGGACCAAUUUAGCUUUUACCCUAGAGCCAAUUCCGUGUAGACCAUUAUAAAAGAUACAACUUCCUUGCAUGACACCGGUUGACCACCAGUUCACAAAUGUCAUCAGGGUAAAAUGUCCCUACUACUACUUGAAUGGACGUGGACUACUGCAAAAUUUUGCUGAUCCACCACGGCAUGAUACAUUAAGAUGAGCAGUGUGCCUAACUAACCUCCUUUCUCACAAGCAUGGGGUUAAGUCCUUGCAAGGAAGCAGAUAUAAGUGGACUUUGUUUGUAUAUCACAAGAAAAUAAAAUGUCAGUCAUGAUUAUAGAGUGCACAGAAAUAUCAGGUAUGUGUUAUGUGAUUUUUGGUAUUUUCUUAAGGUGGAUAAAAAACAAUACAUGUUGCGUGAAAUAUCUUUUUACAUGAAUUGUGGCAGUGAAAAGUUUAAUUUAUUCCAACACUGUUUAGCUUGAAAAUACAACAUCAUAUACAAAGAAUGAACAGAGCUUGAUUAUGAAUAGGGGUAAAGAGAUUAUGACCAGCAUGCAGAAAUCUGUAGUUGUCAAACAAUUCAAAGCAGUGCAAAACUCUUAUCCUAAUUCUCAAUCAAGUGGCCAGAAAGUCUAGAACGAAUGCAUUCAAAAUAAAUAUUUAUGCAUAGAGAAAGGGGCAAUCCUUUGGGGCUAGGAUUCCUGAAAAGUUCAUUGAUCUUCUCCUAUUCUUGGCAUCAUUGUCAGAACAUGAACCACAAUUUUGCCCUUUUGUUCUCUGGCUUUUCCUAUGACUGCAAUCACCCAAAUAUGCUCUUAUUGAUCCAUAUAUUGAGAUCAAAACAAAGACUGCUUUAAUUAAACAAAAAACAAACAACCAUGCUAUGAAAGGGUUUGAGAUGAUGCCUCAUACAGCCUGCUUAAAAUUGGGCAUUAAUGUAUGUGUAGUACAACCCAAAAUCCCAAAUCGUGUAGCUAUGAUAGUGAAUCUGAUGCAGCAGUGCAGACUCCAGCAUUGAUAAGCCGAAACUAUGUUCAUCGGAAUUCAGGAAGCUCCUGAAUAAUAUGUUACACCAGUUUCAGUUUGACUAUUCAAUAAGAAAAUUACACAAAAUACUUGGCACAUAACCAUCAAAUUAGAUUGGUGAUAAAGGAAAGAACACUUCUCAUUCUUGAAAGCAAAACAACAAUAUCUCUUAAUAAACCACUAUCAAUGAAGAUAUUGGAGUCUGGGAAGUUGAGAAAAUGUGGAUUAGUUCUGAGAUAGACCUUAGGCUUUUGUUCAGUAAAUCAGUAGUUUUUGGCAAAGAUUUUUUUUUUCUUCAGAACUCAGUCACAACCUGCAGUAAAAAAAGGGGGUAAUAGAACAUUAAAUGGGCCAAAUUAGAUGAAGAUACUAAAGUGAAUGGAGAACUACUAAACCUUAGGCAAUGUCACAAACACAAAUGGCAUGGAAGAUUACAAGCAAGAUCUGAUUAUCCACCAACAGGUCAUGCUUGAAUCACUUUGGAUUACCCCCACUCCAGCCACCCCUCGGGAUAGGGAAAGACAGUGGCCAGAGAGCUGUUCUAUGCCAGUAACUUCUUGAAACAUUGGCAAGGUAUUCCAAAAUCAGAAUAACACAGGACUGAGCAGAAACAAGCAGAACAAAAUUUAGACAGAUGAAAAAAAACUAUAUGUUAAAGAGUUAAAAAGGCUGACAUGCUUUCUUGUCUUUAGACACUGAAUUGUAGUCGGUAAAGUUUUGAAAAAUUAAUGAAUAAGAAAGCAAACAAAAUUGCAAUUACAAAUAAUUAUGUAUGACGAAUAUUCAUAAACAACAAAAUGUAAUACUAAAAGACACGUUUUCUACAAAAUAACACUUGAUUACCAUUUCAGUUCUUUUAUUUUCUAUUCCUUAGCCAUUCCGAUUUCCACAGAAUACUUUUUAUUUACAGCUAGUGAAACUCAAGAAACUUUAACAUGUUACUGUGCUAGAAUUGCAUUCUCUUGUGAUGAGAACAUAUUACACCUCCAUGAACUUCCAGCGCCACUAAUCCAGUCCUGCCUUGCCAACAAAAGAAAUUAUAGUACUUCUACAAUGACAUAUCGCUAUUGAGGGAACACAUGCACCGCAACAGUCGAGAUCAAGAACAUCGAUGACAAACUGGUAUGAAGGGGAUGACAGACCCCAUGGAGUUGAUCUGACGUGAGUAUGGCAGAGGAGGCAGCCUCCUCCUCCCUCACAGCUGUAACUGAAACAUGUGAACAUGCACAAAGCAAAAGCACAAUGAGAGCAAUGGGAGAAUAAUGACCAUGUAGAAGAGGAAACAACGAAAUGAAGCAACUCGUACGCCCAUUUUGUCAACAAGAACCAAGGGAAAGUGAUUAGUGCGGAAACAAUGUAAGAUACAGCAGCAACACAAGAUGAAGAGCAGGCAUUUAAUUCCAAAUGUCAUUGCAACCUUAAAAAAAAAUCCCAACAAAAUGGAAUUUCAGUUUGUAUACACGUUACCAAAUCCAAACUUGUAAGGAACAGAAUAUCAAUCCUUCUAGUAUAGUCGGCGUGAUCAAUAAAAUAUUUAUGCACAAAACACUUACUUUGUUGAUGGAGCACUGGAUAACUCAACCGUUUGAAAGCCAAGAUGAUUAACAAGACGGGCUAAUUAAUUAAUGAGAAUUGAAAGGUGCCAAUAAAAUUGACAGGCAUGAAACAAAUCAAACAGAACAGCUUGUGGCAAAAGCAGGUACUGGUGUAUGUAAAGACCAUAAGAGAGAUUAGGAAUCUCGACGAGUGAGCAACAAUUGUGAUUCACUAGCACAGGAGACAUCCAUCAAUGUUUCUAUACGAUAGCAAAAGUAGCAUUAGCAGUAGUAUGCAAGGUGCGAUGAUAAGUACCAGGAUGGUGAUUAACAUUAAGAAAACCAGUAGCAAAUAACAAGGUUCAAACGGAUUACACCGAAUUUAUACAUAAUAACUUAGGGUAGAUGGUUAACGCAAAGGGAAACGACAGAGCUCCAACUAGACUUAAGAGUAGGCUGCAUCUCGCGCGCGCACACAAAAGGUGUUUGAUUCCCGACUUUAGUAGUUCUCCACCUCCACCACAUCGUCUCCUUCGUCGUCAGUGACCUCGGCCUCCGAUUCGUCCACCGCGUAGCCAAAUUUUUCUUGCUGGUCGAUGAGGGCCUCCAGGUAGGCAAGCCUUGUGUCCCUGAGAAGGAUAUCUAGGCGGUAGCUGCGUUGGAAACUCUCUGAAUACUUGGCCAGCUGGUCUUCAGUGAGGUUCCUGGACGGGCAGGGAUGUGUGGCCAUUGCCCUGGUAAAGUCGAUCUGCGCCUUCGUUAUCGUCGUCAACUUCUUGACCAGCACCUUCUUCGUCUUCUUCCCGGCCGGCUGGGCCGCCGUCACCGUGGGAACCACGGUAGGGGGGUCCAGUGUCGCCUCGCUCGCCGCCUUGUACUCCUUCUUGAGCUUCAGGAUCUUUCCCUCCUCUGACUUGACCUUCAUCAGGAUCUUACGAUCCUCCUCCGACUCCAGCUUCAGGAUCCUGAAGACCUCCUCCUCCGACGCCGCCAUCUUAUCACCCUCCUCCGACGACGCCAUCUUAGCCUUCUUAGCCUCCGACUUCAUGCUGCGGGUACGGCGACGGGUCCCCUCCUCUGGCGAAGCCUUCUCAGCCUCCGACUUCAUGCUGCGGGUACGGGGGCGAAGGGACCCCUCCUCCGACGAAGCCUUCUUAGCCUCCGCCGCCUCCGACUUCAUGCGGCGGCUACGGGACCCCUCCUCCGACGAUCGCCCCAUUGCACGCGACCGAACCCUAACCUCCCAGGAUUGUGACGAUGCGGCGGCAGUUGGUUUUGGACACGGAAGAUGGAGAAUCCUGGGUUCCAUCGGAUGCGAAUAGGCCAGGCCUGAACCGCAAGUCCGCAAGCC
RNAcentral lists this long non-coding RNA (30117 nucleotides) under Sorghum bicolor (sorghum). Its description in RNAcentral is "long non-coding RNA (SBIC_LNC003927)". Lineage: Eukaryota; Viridiplantae; Streptophyta; Magnoliopsida; Poales; Poaceae. The record is from RNAcentral.